AUUUCCCCCAGAGGAGAGCAGUGUGACACGAGCAGGCAGAGCAGCUCUGAUCCAAGACUUUGCUCCUGGCAUCCCUGAAUACCCUGACUAGCUCACCUCUUCUUAAAAGUCACUUUCAGAGGCAAAGCUAGGUAUUUGGGGGUGGUGCCUACCCAUGAACACACAGAGCUGUAUGUGACUUGCCCAGAGACAAGUUCUUAGAUAAAGGCUGUGAUUUGCAGCCAUAGUGGCCUGACCCUGAGUCCUGGGUUGGCAGGGAGGCCAGGGUGGAGGGUACAGUGGACAUGACCCUGGCUUAGAGGUGAAAAGUGCAGGGUUCAGGUCCUGAUUCUAUCCUGUGUAGCUGUGUGACCUUGAGAUAUUGCUAAGUUCUGUAAGUUUUAGUUAUUCAUCUCUAAAAUGGAAAUAAUAAUACUUUCCUCACAGUGUUAUCAAAAUCAUAUAAAAUCACUUUGCAAAAUGCUGUAUUGAUGGAAGGAAUGAUUUCCUUUAUUCAUUCUGUCUUCCAGAUCCAAAGGCCACUCUUGGGAAGGUGUGACAGCUAUCGGGUUCAAGGGAAGCAUCUGGAAAGGGCUGGGAUCUUUGCAGCCAUGUAGCACACUGGCCAAGAAAG
This 613-nucleotide long non-coding RNA is filed under the name Macaca mulatta (Rhesus monkey). RNAcentral describes it as "lncRNA (ENSMMUG00000056877.1)". The record is from RNAcentral. Lineage: Eukaryota; Metazoa; Chordata; Mammalia; Primates; Cercopithecidae.